RNAcentral lists this ribosomal RNA (387 nucleotides) under uncultured bacterium. RNAcentral's name for it is "bacterial SSU rRNA". It matches the Rfam family "Archaeal small subunit ribosomal RNA", at positions 339 to 726 of the family's 1478-position model. The record is from RNAcentral.
GCGCGAAAACUUUACAAUGCUGGCAACAGCGAUAAGGGAACCUCGAGUGCCAGGUUACAAAUCUGGCUGUCGAGAUGCCUAAAAAGCAUUUCAUAGCAAGGGCCGGGCAAGACCGGUGCCAGCCGCCGCGGUAACACCGGCGGCUCGAGUGGUAACCGUUAUUAUUGGGUCUAAAGGGUCUGUAGCCGGCCGGAUAAGUCUCUUGAGAAAUCUGGCAGCUUAACUGUCAGGCUUUCAGGAGAUACUGUCGGGCUCGAGGCCGGGAGAGGUGAGAGGUACUUCAGGGGUAGGGGUGAAAUCUUGUAAUCCUUGAAGGACCACCAGUGGCGAAGGCGUCUCACCAGAACGGACCUGACGGCAAGGGACGAAAGCUAGGGGCACGAACCG